CACCGCCGAGACGUGCUCCUUUUGAAGACACAUCAUGGGAGCGUGGCUCCAGAGGAGGAAACAACUCAGAAUGCACAGCCACCUCCUUCCCGCUUCCCACCCGCCCAGCUUCACGUGCAGUGGGGAAGGAAACAGCCCCAGGGAAACACCCUGGUCUGCAUUUCCAUCUGGGCACAGUCUGACACAGCCCUGGGAACGGCCAGGCACAGCAGGAUCUUCCACCCUCCGCAAUCAAAGCAAGGCAAAAGCUCCCUCUCCUUUUCCCCUGUUGCCAAAGGGUAGAAAUCCCACCGAGAUCCAAAGCGUAUCAUUCCAGUGGGAGAUUUCCCCUGGGAGGAUUGGUUAUUUGAUGACUGGCUUGUUCUGUAAGGUCUCAAUAUCCCCUUUUUUCUCUGUACAGCAGAGGAACAUGCACGAGAGCGGAGCUGCGCCGUUCGCGCAGCGAGCAGUGAUUCUUCAACUCGGGAAGCU
Molecule: long non-coding RNA, 471 nt
Organism: Pezoporus flaviventris
Lineage: Eukaryota; Metazoa; Chordata; Aves; Psittaciformes; Psittacidae
Exons: 3
Source: RefSeq, a predicted model, not a curated record